GCCUUUGAAUUGAAAUACCAAUAUAGUGGUUAGUAACACUGACUGCAGUGCAGUAGGGCCUGGGUUUGAAUCCCAGAGAAGGCA
Molecule: non-coding RNA, 84 nt
Organism: Trichonephila clavipes
Lineage: Eukaryota; Metazoa; Arthropoda; Arachnida; Araneae; Nephilidae
Source: the annotation of a GenBank genome assembly